RNAcentral lists this ribosomal RNA (985 nucleotides) under human gut metagenome. Its description in RNAcentral is "bacterial LSU rRNA". It matches the Rfam family "Bacterial large subunit ribosomal RNA", at positions 1942 to 2925 of the family's 2925-position model. The record is from RNAcentral.
AUAACGGUCCUAAGGUAGCGAAAUUCCUUGUCAGGUAAGUUCUGACCCGCACGAAUGGCGUAAUGAUUUGGGCACUGUCUCGACAGCCCGCCCGGCGAAAUUGUAGUACUGGUGAAGAUGCCAGUUACCCGCAACUAGACGGAAAGACCCCAUGGAGCUUUACUGCAGUUUAAUACUGGGAAUCGGUAAUUCAUGUACAGGAUAGGUGGGAGACUGAGAAGCAUGGCCGUCAGGUCGUGUGGAGUCACCGGUGGGAUACCACUCUUGGAUUGCUGGUUUCCUAACCUGCGGCCCUGAAUCGGGUCGGGGGACACUGUUAGACGGGCAGUUUGACUGGGGCGGUCGCCUCCAAAAGAGUAACGGAGGCGCUCAAAGGUUCGUUCAGCACGGACGGAAAUCGUGCAUUGAGUGUAAACGCAUAAACGAGCCUAACUGCGAGACCGACGGGUCGAGCAGUAACGAAAGUUGGAGUUAGUGAUCCGGUGGUAUGUGAGUGGAAAUGCCAUCGCUCAACGGAUAAAAGCUACCCUGGGGAUAACAGGCUGAUCUCCCCCAAGAGUCCACAUCGACGGGGAGGUUUGGCACCUCGAUGUCGGCUCAUCGCAUCCUGGGGCUGUAUUCGGUCCCAAGGGUUUGGCUGUUCGCCAAUUAAAGCGGCACGCGAGCUGGGUUCAGAACGUCGUGAGACAGUUCGGUCCCUAUCUGUUGCGGGCGUAAGAGAUUUGAAGGGAGCUGUCCUUAGUACGAGAGGACCGGGAUGGACGUACCUCUGGUGCACCAGUUGUCCUGCCAAGGGCAUAGCUGGGUAGCUAUGUACGGACGAGAUAAACGCUGAAAGCAUCUAAGCGUGAAACUCUCCCUAAGAUGAGAUCUCUCAUCCAUUAUGGAGUAAGGGCCCAGAAAGACGAUCUGGUUGAUAGGCCGGAGGUGGAAGCACGGUAACGUGUGCAGCUGACCGGUACUAAUAGCCCGAGGGCUUGACCUA